CUGCCAGAAUUCAUAUGCUUGUCCCGAAGACUCAAGCCAUGCAUGCCAACGAAAAAUUGGCCUGCGAUCGUGGGUUUACUCCCGUGGUUGUGGGCUCAAGGAAUCAGCGAACGGCUCCGCAUAUCUGUUGUCACCUAUCGUGGUACAUUUGGCGUGGAUAUAGCACGGAAAAGCUGUGUGUAACACAGAUAAUUACGGGGCACCUCCUAGACCGCCUGGCCGGGGUCAUGUUGCUGGGAAAUAAGCGGGUGAUUAAAGCCCACCCCGCCUCUUGAACAAUAUCGAUCACCCAAAGUACACCCCUCCUAGUUAUACUUGGGGAGGGGGCGAGAACCGGGGGCUUCUGUGCUUUUCAUUGCUGCAGACCAAGUUGCUGCCUGUUGCGGCUUCUUGGGUUGUGUGGUAUAUGGGAAGCGCCAGAGACUAACCACAAGCGCACGAUGGGCUUCAGACCUAUCAGCUGGAUGGUAGGGUAUUGGCCUACCAUGGCUAUGACGGGUACAGAGGAUUAGGGUUUGAUCCUGGAGAGGUAGCCUGAGAAAUCGCUCCCACUUCUAAGGAAGGCAGCAGGCGCGUAACGUUCCCAAUGCUAUUAACUUAGUGAGGACGUAAUGGGACAUAACAAUACCCCUAGUGAAUAGUGGGCAAUUGAUAAUGGAGUGACUAUCA
Molecule: ribosomal RNA, 669 nt
Filed under: Lycogala sp.
Lineage: Eukaryota; Evosea; Eumycetozoa; Liceales; Enteridiidae
Description: partial small subunit ribosomal RNA
Rfam family: Eukaryotic small subunit ribosomal RNA
Source: RNAcentral